Molecule: ribosomal RNA, 624 nt
Filed under: Burkholderia sp. IBa315
Lineage: Bacteria; Pseudomonadati; Pseudomonadota; Betaproteobacteria; Burkholderiales; Burkholderiaceae
Description: bacterial SSU rRNA
Rfam family: Bacterial small subunit ribosomal RNA
Source: RNAcentral
UCCAGCAAUGCCGCGUGUGUGAAGAAGGCCUUCGGGUUGUAAAGCACUUUUGUCCGGAAAGAAAACCGCUUCUCUAAUACAGGGGCGGGAUGACGGUACCGGAAGAAUAAGCACCGGCUAACUACGUGCCAGCAGCCGCGGUAAUACGUAGGGUGCAAGCGUUAAUCGGAAUUACUGGGCGUAAAGCGUGCGCAGGCGGUUCGCUAAGACCGAUGUGAAAUCCCCGGGCUUAACCUGGGAACUGCAUUGGUGACUGGCGGGCUAGAGUAUGGCAGAGGGGGGUAGAAUUCCACGUGUAGCAGUGAAAUGCGUAGAGAUGUGGAGGAAUACCGAUGGCGAAGGCAGCCCCCUGGGCCAAUACUGACGCUCAUGCACGAAAGCGUGGGGAGCAAACAGGAUUAGAUACCCUGGUAGUCCACGCCCUAAACGAUGUCAACUAGUUGUCGGGUCUUCAUUGACUUGGUAACGAAGCUAACGCGUGAAGUUGACCGCCUGGGGAGUACGGUCGCAAGAUUAAAACUCAAAGGAAUUGACGGGGACCCGCACAAGCGGUGGAUGAUGUGGAUUAAUUCGAUGCAACGCGAAAAACCUUACCUACCCUUGACAUGUACGGAAUCCUGCUGA